Molecule: long non-coding RNA, 891 nt
Organism: Phragmites australis (common reed)
Lineage: Eukaryota; Viridiplantae; Streptophyta; Magnoliopsida; Poales; Poaceae
Exons: 3
Source: RefSeq, a predicted model, not a curated record
UGGGUUUGUUGGUCAACUCUUCCCGGACGUGAUUACGAGGUGAAAUCCGGUUGAUUAAGUUGAUCCAAACGCUUCAAUAUAUACGUCCGAGUCCAGAUCAGGGAGAGAAUGCAAGUGCCUUCAGCUGCCUUCAAAAUAAUCCAAGGGGCCAGUGCCUUUUUCCUUUGAAGUGUUUGGACUUCUUGGGAGAUGGCUAACCUUGUGGCGAUGAACAUGAAGAGGAAGGAUGCUGAGGUGGCCGGCCAUGGAUUCUCCAUCUUUCUUGAUCCCAAGAGGAUCAAAUUACAGGUACGGCAGCUGGAUGCCGAAAUUCCGGAAAUGAUGGAAGAAGAGGAACCACUGGCAGAUGCUCCACCAGCUAAUGUGCAUCCAACCAUAUUCAUGCCCUCACUGUCGCUAGCGCUGCCAACUCAGGGGCAAGAAGCUAUCCAUGGCAACACCAUGAGCACUACAUCUAGGAGCAAAUGUUCAGAACCACCAUUCAGCAAAGAAGACCAGGCAGCACCAAUGGAUGUCGAGGUGGACAUCCGGUAAUGCCAGGCCCUGGCGCAGCCGGGGCAGCACACCCCUUUCUUUUCAGGUUUCUUCUGAUGAGUGGCACUCAGCUGAAUCCUCUGGUCAGCAAUCGUGGAAGUCAUGCAACAUAUGCUGCUCUUCAGCCUUCACCAUCCUCCUGGAUCAGUACAUGUUGCUAUGAAUUUGAAUCACGGUGUAACUGCAUAGACUACAGAGACCGUCCUGCAUUUCAAACUGUACAAUGUAUGCUAAUAUUCAGUCCACCACCACCACCUAUAGAUCGGAACAUGUUUUACUAUGUAUGCUGAAGCAUGCGGUGAACCACGAUUUUUCUUUUUACACAGGAUUGAAACAAAGAUCUUAUCUCUAUUCAAA